CACUGCCGAGAAAAGCCUCUAGAUAGAAAAUAGGUGCCCGUACCGCAAACCGACACAGGUAGUCAAGAUGAGAAUUCUAAGGUGAGCGAGCGAACUCUCGUUAAGGAACUCGGCAAAAUGACCCCGUAACUUCGGGAGAAGGGGUGCUCUUUAGGGUUAACGCCCAGAAGAGCCGCAGUGAAUAGGCCCAAGCGACUGUUUAUCAAAAACACAGGUCUCUGCUAAACCGUAAGGUGAUGUAUAGGGGCUGACGCCUGCCCGGUGCUGGAAGGUUAAGAGGAGUGGUUAGCUUCUGCGAAGCUACGAAUCGAAGCCCCAGUAAACGGCGGCCGUAACUAUAACGGUCCUAAGGUAGCGAAAUUCCUUGUCGGGUAAGUUCCGACCCGCACGAAAGGCGUAACGAUUUGGGCACUGUCUCAACGAGAGACUCGGUGAAAUCAUAGUACCUGUGAAGAUGCAGGUUACCCGCGACAGGACGGAAAGACCCCGUGGAGCUUUACUGUAGCCUGAUAUUGAAAUUCGGCACAGCUUGUACAGGAUAGGUAGGAGCCUUUGAAACGUGAGCGCUAGCUUACGUGGAGGCGCUGGUGGGAUACUACCCUAGCUGUGUUGGCUUUCUAACCCGCACCACUUAUCGUGGUGGGAGACAGUGUCAGGCGGGC
This 662-nucleotide ribosomal RNA is filed under the name Staphylococcus aureus. Its description in RNAcentral is "partial 23S ribosomal RNA". It matches the Rfam family "Bacterial large subunit ribosomal RNA", at positions 1603 to 2266 of the family's 2925-position model. Lineage: Bacteria; Bacillati; Bacillota; Bacilli; Caryophanales; Staphylococcaceae. The record is from RNAcentral.